RNAcentral lists this ribosomal RNA (440 nucleotides) under uncultured bacterium. Its description in RNAcentral is "partial 16S ribosomal RNA". It matches the Rfam family "Bacterial small subunit ribosomal RNA", at positions 338 to 795 of the family's 1533-position model. The record is from RNAcentral.
CCUACGGGAGGCAGCAGUGGGGAAUAUUGCACAAUGGGGGAAACCCUGAUGCAGCGACGCCGCGUGAGUGAAGAAGUACUUCGUUAUGUAAAGCUCUAUCAGCAGGGAAGAAAAUGACGGUACCUGAGUAAGAAGCCACGGCGAACUACGUGCCAGCAGCCGCGGUAAUACGGAGGGGGCAAGCGUUAUCCGGAUUUACUGGGUGUAAAGGGAGCGUAGACGGCAGUGCAAGUCUGGAGGGAAAGGCGGGGGCUCAACCCCCGGACUGCCCUGGAAACUGUACGGCUGGAGUGCAGGAGAGGUAAGUGGAAUGCCUAGUGUAGCGGUGAAAUGCGUAGAUAUUAGGAGGAACACCAGUGGCGAAGGCGGCUUACUGGACUGUAACUGACGUUGAGGCUCGAAAGCGUGGGUAGCAAACAGGAUUAGAUACCCGAGUAGUC